AGCUCAAAAAGCUGAUUUCAGAUCUUCCUUGUGAGGUACUUCAGAAAGUAUUGGCCGAGGUGCGUGGAAUUUUAUGAAAUGAUUUCCUAGGCAUCAACAAAAGGACUUGUGCAAUGGUGAUGCCAAUGAUGCACAAUGAGGAGAUGGUUGGGCCUUGUGGCGUGCUUAUGGCAGCAGCUCCCCUUGCCAGCAAACUCGCCAUCUCUUUCCCUAGGUAUACCAGCUUUGGCCAUCUUUUUCAAUGUA
Non-coding RNA from Lolium perenne, 246 nucleotides. Lineage: Eukaryota; Viridiplantae; Streptophyta; Magnoliopsida; Poales; Poaceae. The record is from RefSeq and is a predicted model, not a curated record.